Pelobates cultripes (western spadefoot toad) is the source of this 217-nucleotide non-coding RNA. Lineage: Eukaryota; Metazoa; Chordata; Amphibia; Anura; Pelobatidae. The record is from the annotation of a GenBank genome assembly.
CUUAGAAUAGGGGUUGAAAGUAUGACACUGUACAGUGGCCAUUACUUUCAUUACUACAAAAACGGGAAUCCCUGCACACAGGUUCCACCUGAAAUUUCCGGCCCUCCGUCGUGGAAGUGCUCCGUGCAUGAUUAAGGCUCUGUUGAGCCGAAACGUUGCACUUUAUGAGGUGGUGAACCCAGAAAUAAAUUUACCUUCUGGAUCCUGGAGUGUUGCC